This 822-nucleotide ribosomal RNA is filed under the name Paradiplozoon parapeleci. RNAcentral describes it as "eukaryotic LSU rRNA". The stretch from base 9 to 133 matches the Rfam family "5.8S ribosomal RNA", at positions 30 to 154 of the family's 154-position model. Lineage: Eukaryota; Metazoa; Platyhelminthes; Monogenea; Mazocraeidea; Diplozoidae. The record is from RNAcentral.
GGCUUGUGGCGUCGAUGAAGAACGCAGCCAACUGUGUGAAUUAUUGUGAAUUGCAAACUGCCUUGAACAUCGACUUCUUGAACGCAAAUUGCGGCAUUAGGCCAUGCCUGAUGCCACGCCUAUCCGAGAGUCGGCAUAGUAUUAAUCGCGACGCUGAAUUGGUCGCGGAUUGGUUUGUUGUCAACCGUCGUGUUUGUCUAUUCAACACGUUGCAUGUUGAUAAGACGGCGGAGUGUGUGACGCUUACCUAACCUAUUGGAGAGUGCGUGUAUAUCUGCAUAGUCUGCCAGUAGCCUUUCUCGUCAGUCGAGCUUUUACACAUCUGCAAUGAAUUUUCUUGAUAGCCGUAGAUGUGGAUAGCAGUUAUGACGUUGACUGUGCGUGUUUUCUGGUUGACAUUCACUAGUUAGGUUGUGGGCUUUUAAUUUAUCGUUUAUGACUGCAAUGUGAUGCUUUUCAUAAAUGCGGUUCUCCUGCGCCUAAAGGCCUUUGGUUGUGCAGUGACCAGUGUUUCUUAAGUGUGUGCACUUGCGUGCAAGGUCGCAGCAUAAUGUGUUUGCGACGCUGUCUAAGCUUGUGUAAUUCAUUUAAUCUGUGUUGCUGCCGUUGGCCCGAGGGUGAAUUUGUAAUCCUAAGGGAGUUCGCUUGCCCACGCCUAGCUUAUACUGCAACUCUUGUUCAGAUGUGUAUGUCGGUGGCACAAGUAUUCCUGGAGAGUGCUGUGUUUUGUGCUGCCUGACCUCGGAUUAGGCGUGAUUACCCGCUGAACUUAAGCAUAUCAGUAAGCGGAGGAAAAGAAACUAACCAGGAUUCGGAUCCGGC